AAGAAGCGAAGCGGUGGACGUGGAGCAAACCUCAGAAAGCCAAUCUCAGUUCGGAUUGUAGGCUGCAACUCGCCUACAUGAAGUUGGAAUCGCUAGUAAUCGCGAAUCAGAAUGUCGCGGUGAAUACGUUCCCGGGUCUUGUACACACCGCCCGUCACACCACGAGAGUUUACAACACCCGAAGUCAGUGGCCUAACCGCAAGGAAGGAGCUGCCUAAGGUGGGGUAGAUGAUUGGGGUGAAGUCGUAACAAGGUACC
This 258-nucleotide ribosomal RNA is filed under the name uncultured bacterium. RNAcentral's name for it is "partial 16S ribosomal RNA". It matches the Rfam family "Bacterial small subunit ribosomal RNA", at positions 1244 to 1500 of the family's 1533-position model. The record is from RNAcentral.